GUGUCAGCCGCCGCGGUAAGACGAACCGUGCAAACGUUGUUCGGAAUCACUGGGCUUAAAGGGCGCGUAGGCGGGUUUCCAAGUCUGUGGUGAAAUCCUCCAGCUUAACUGGAGAAGUGCCGUGGAUACUGGAAGUCUCGAGGAGGGUAGGGGCAUCUGGAACUGCCGGUGGAGCGGUGAAAUGCGUUGAUAUCGGCAGGAACUCCGAUGGCGAAGGCAAGGUGCUGGACCCUUUCUGACGCUGAGGCGCGAAAGCCAGGGGAGCAAACGGGAUUAGAAACCCCCGUAGUCC
RNAcentral lists this ribosomal RNA (292 nucleotides) under uncultured bacterium. RNAcentral describes it as "partial 16S ribosomal RNA". It matches the Rfam family "Bacterial small subunit ribosomal RNA", at positions 505 to 796 of the family's 1533-position model. The record is from RNAcentral.